CUCUCUCAAACCUUUCGGACCUCUCACGGAUGCCCUCCAUCUGUCCGCUCUCCUCACUGCCACCUCCCAUCGAUCUCCACCAUCGCCUCCCCCCCAUUAUCACUGGCAUUGGGCUUCUUGCUCCAAUCUCCCUUAGGUGCUUUCCUUCCCAUAGAUCUCUAAGAGAGAUGCUGACCUUCUUCCUGCUCGCCUCACGGUCACCUCUCAUCGAUCUCCAUCAUCACCUUCUUCUCCAUCAUCACUAGCAUCGGCCUUCUCCUUCGAUCUCCCUCAGGUGCUUUUCUUCCCAUAGAUCUUGAAAAAAGAGAAAGAAAUGAAAAGAAAUAAAAAGCCCAACACAAAACCCCAGCCAUCAUCUUAGCUUCCCCAUUCGGCCGCUCUAAGCAUCCCACCUGAUUGGGACUCUUGAGGACAAAAAAAAGAACAACACAAAACCCCAGCCAUCGCCUUCGCUACCCUAUUCAGCCGCUCCAAGCCUCCCACAUGAUUUGGACUCCUGAGGAUGGGAAAAAAAAAUCUAGUGCAAAAUGCCAGCCAUCGUCUUGGCUUCCCUAUUCGGCCACUUUAAGCCUCCCACCCAAUUGGGAUUCUUGAGGAUGGGA
RNAcentral lists this long non-coding RNA (602 nucleotides) under Elaeis guineensis (African oil palm). Its description in RNAcentral is "long non-coding RNA (EGUI_LNC039141)". The record is from RNAcentral. Lineage: Eukaryota; Viridiplantae; Streptophyta; Magnoliopsida; Arecales; Arecaceae.